This is a long non-coding RNA of Lagopus muta (rock ptarmigan), 463 nucleotides long. RefSeq lists it as uncharacterized. Lineage: Eukaryota; Metazoa; Chordata; Aves; Galliformes; Phasianidae. The record is from RefSeq and is a predicted model, not a curated record. The transcript has 4 exons.
UUUUUUUUGUUUUUUUUUUCCUUCCCCUUCUUCUUCUCUUUUCUUCCCUCUCUCCUGUGAGUCUAGGAUGUGGCUUCGCUGUACUUGGACAGAAGGUUUUCGUAGUGGUCAGCUGAAUUCUGUAACCAAAUUACACAGUUUGCUUUUAAAAGUUGUGGCCAACUGUUACAGGCAAGAUGGGAUGAAUGCUAGGAGGAACAAAAGGAUAAAGAACUGCAUGAGCUGAUGCAGCUGAGGAGGCUGGGGAUUUCACAAGGAUGGCAAAUGAAGAAAAGCUUGCUUUUGCAUCCGGAAGGGAUUAUAUUUGUUAGGAGAUUGGAGAAAAUUCAAACAAAUAAAAACAAGCCAUUGCUAAAAACAACUGAAGAGUUAUGUAAUGGUGCAAAUGGAUGCGGAAGUACUUAGUUCUGUGGAUAACUGCCAUAGCAAAUCAUCUCUUGACUUCAGUGGAAAACAACACAUC